CAUUGCGCUCCAAAAGGCGUCUCCCGUUGCUAAGCAGCAUGGCCUGCGCUCUCCAUGAAGAAGCGGAAAUUUCAGCAAAGGAUAAAUGGAUUUGACUAAAAGUCGCUUGCAGUAGCUCUGUUAUUGAAUUUAUCUAAAAUGGCUAUCCAUAUACAGCUAAGCUGUUCCUUCAUCUUGGCUGAGCUUUCAGUGUUGCUACAGGAAAGGAUGAAGCUGAUUGGUUGCUUCUUGUCACUUGACCCGCGGUGCGCUUGCAGCAUUCUGAAAAGUUGAAAUGUUUUUGAUGCGGCUCGGACGCGCCUGCCGCUCGUCUACUUUUGAAAUAACGAACUUGAGCGCACGAAAGACGCGAUAUGUGAACGGCCCCUACAUUCGUUUGAUUGCGGUUCUGGGACAGUUUAGAGCGCGCGCGUCCCUUACGAGCCGCCGUCGUUUAUAUUAGGCGCGCUUUUCCAAUCUUUUCCUCCUGAAUCAGAGCAAUGUGGUUUUAUUGCAACACUUUGCACGCUUGAAGUUUAGAAACGGACAGUGCGGACAGUUUCAUGUCAGAUUGACCCUGUGCUGUUUCCAAAACCCGGAUGUAAAUGAGAAGACAAGGGAGUACCUUACAACUAAAUGACUGAUAAAGGAACUGUUAAUGUUAGCAUGCUUUACAGGACCAGACCAGGAUCUAGAGCAGUUUUUGUAGAUCUUUAACAUAGUCUCCAUGCAUGCUGCUUCAUUCAGAAUUGAAAAGGAUUUGUCAUUGUUCAACAGAUGCAUUUUCAUUCUGUGCAGACCCUUUUUUUCCCUGGAUACCAAGUAAUAUCCAUCAGCAUGGAGAGGUCUUAAUGGCAAGCACCAGGCCCAUGCUGGACUCUUAACCCCACAUUCUUCACUGGGCCACAGCAGUAAUGGGGAUCAUUCGGAAUUGGUCCAUGGCAGGAGAACGAAGGCUUAUCAUUGAUCCACCAUCUCCCCUCCCGCGCCACUCCCACUUCAAAGCCACAUAAUGAGAAUAACCUGUGCCAGCCAGCCAGGGAAGUCUUUAGUAAGAAUUAUAGAUUGAGGUAAAGGAGAGGAAAUGCAUAGAAGCAGGAGGUUUAAAUGAGCUCUGUGGUGAUCAAGAAGCUCAGGAGAUGCACAGUGAAAGCAGGAAGACCGGGAAGAUGCAUUGGCUCGGCAGAGGCUCAGUGGAGGUCUGGAAAAGACCUUGCACAAAGCUCUUCCCUUACAUUAGAUUAGCCUUGUUCAGACACCCACUGAGCCCCUCUUGUCAACCCCCUGCUCAGCCCCCAGAGAGAGGUGUUUGCUAUUAGCCACUGACCUCCAUCCAUUCAGACUUGCUGAGUCUCUGCUCCUGACUUUAGAUCUGCCACACUAAUCAAAAACAACUCAGCCUCUCAAUCCUGGCAUUUUCUUUCUUCAGACAAGUAUUAGGAGGUGGACCCUAAUAUGGGGGUUUCAGGAUAUUGAUAAUAAUUGAAUAGCAUUAAAUAGGAUCAACGUUAUAGACAUUCCUGACCUCAAUUCAAAAUGUCAAUACACACCUAAAACGAUGGGGUUGGGGAUUUAUAUAGGAAGAUUAAAUGGACUUCCAGUUAUUAUUUGACAUUCUAGAGGAAUGUAAUGAGUACAUGUGAAAAAGAAAGAGAAUGAUUUAGUACACGUCCUGUGUUGGGGCUAACUUUACAAUCAUUAUUUAUCACUCUGAUGCAGUGGUUCCCAAUCCUGGUCCUGGAGUUCCCCCUUUAGGUUUGGAAACCACUGCUCUGAUGGACUAAGUUGUAAAAUUUCCAUCUCUUGUUAUUUAUUUAUUUAUUUAUUUUAUUAUUGUUUUCAUUUUCCUAAUCAUUAUGGAUGUUUUGAAUUUUGAUAUUGCUAAU
Molecule: long non-coding RNA, 1865 nt
Organism: Cyprinus carpio carpio
Lineage: Eukaryota; Metazoa; Chordata; Actinopteri; Cypriniformes; Cyprinidae
Source: Ensembl